AUUGCAGAGCAUCUGACAAUGACUUGAGCUUCAAUCCCGAUGGUUCUGCUGUGAACCCUGCAACUUUCUAACAACAUAUUCGACGAGAUUCUAAUCUAAUUGGACAACUAUUUCAGACCGAUCCUGAGCUUGCCCAAGCUGUUGUUGGAAAUGACCUCAACAAACUGCAGGAGAUUCUAUGAGCUCGUAAUCAACGAAGAUUUGAAUUGCGACGAAAAGAGGAGGAGCUUGCUCUUCUUCAGGCUGAUCCUUUUGAUGUUGAAGCACAAAAGAAAAUUGAAGCUGCCAUUCGGCAGAAAGUGAUUGAUGAGAACUGGGCUGCUUCCUUAGAGUAUGAUCCCGAAGGCUUUGCAAGGGUGGUAUGUAGUCUUGCUUCCCUUGUGAAGUGUACCUAUUAAAAUUUAUAGCUUUCUUCCACUUUAGAAUAUAAUGUUUCUUUUCGUUCUAAUCAGGUUAUUUUGUACGUGGGUGUGGAGGUUAACGGUGUCCCA
Hibiscus syriacus is the source of this 491-nucleotide long non-coding RNA. RefSeq lists it as uncharacterized. Lineage: Eukaryota; Viridiplantae; Streptophyta; Magnoliopsida; Malvales; Malvaceae. The record is from RefSeq and is a predicted model, not a curated record. The transcript has 3 exons.